Molecule: ribosomal RNA, 464 nt
Filed under: uncultured archaeon
Lineage: Archaea
Description: partial 16S ribosomal RNA
Source: RNAcentral
AUUCCUUUAAGUGAACUGCGAAAGAAGAUUCAUUCUUCUUUCGAUUCAGCCUUGCGACCGUACUCCCCAGGCGGCGAGCUUAACGGCUUCCCUGCGACACUUCGAUCGCGAACUGCGAUCGAAUCAUCUAGCUCGCAUCGUUUACGGCUGGGACUACCCGGGUAUCUAAUCCGGUUCGCUCCCCCAGCUUUCACCCCUCACCGUCGAGCGCGUUCUGGCGGACCGCCUUCGCCACUGGUGGUCUUCCGCGGAUCAAAGGAUUUUACCCCUACACGCGGAGUACCGUCCGCCUCUCCCGCCUCCUAGUCCCGCAGUAUCCUCUGCAGGCCAGCCGUUGAGCGACUGGAUUUAACAGAGGACUUACGGAACCGGCUACGGGUGCUUUAGGCCCAAUAAUCGUCCCGACCACUCGAGGAGCUGGUAUUACCGCGGCGGCUGACACCAGACUUGCCCUCCCCUUAUUC